UUCGCCCUUUUCCGGUUGAUCCUGCCGGAAGUUACUGCUAUCGGUGUUCGACUAAGCCAUGCGAGUCAAAUGUUCUUCGUGAACAUGGCGGACUGCUCAGUAACACGUGGAUAACCUGCCCUUAGGUUCGGCAUAACUCCGGGAAACUGGAGAUAAUUCUGAAUAGGUCAAAUAUGCUGGAAUGCUUUUUGGCCAAAAGACUUCGGUUGCCUAAGGAUGGAUCUGCGGUCUAUCAGGUUGUAGUGGGUGUAACGUACCUACUAGCCUACGACGGAUAUGGGUUGUGAGAGCAAGAGCCCAGAGAUGGAUUCUGAGACAUGAAUCCAGGCCCUACGGGGCGCAGCAGGCGCGAAAACUUUACAAUGCGGGAAACCGCGAUAAGGGGACACCGAGUGCCAGCAUUUAUGUUGGCUGUCCACAUGUGUAAACGGCAUGUGUUAGCAAGGGCCGGGCAAGACCGGUGCCAGCCGCCGCGGUAACACCGGCGGCCCGAGUGGUAAUCACUUUUAUUGGGUCUAAAGGGUCCGUAGCCGGUUUGAUCAGUUCUUCGGGAAAUCUGACAGCUCAACUGUUAGGCUUCCGGGGAAUACUGUCAGACUUGGGACCGGGAGAGGGAAGAGGUACUACAGGGGUAGGAGUGAAAUCUUGUAAUCCCUGUGGGACCACCAG
Molecule: ribosomal RNA, 669 nt
Filed under: uncultured archaeon
Lineage: Archaea
Description: bacterial SSU rRNA
Rfam family: Archaeal small subunit ribosomal RNA
Source: RNAcentral